ACGCACUGUGUGUCAGUCGGUCCUAAGAGAUUGGCGAACGCCGUUCAAAAGUGCGGGGCGAUGGCCUCCGUCGCCCCCGGUCGAUCGAAAGGGAGUCGGGUUCAGAUCCCCGAAUCUGGAGAGGCGGAGAUAGGCGCCGCGAGGCGUCCAGUGCGGUAACGCAAACGACCCCGGAGAAGCUGGCGGGAGCCCCGGGAAGAGUUCUCUUUUCUUUGUGAAGGGCAGGGCGCCCUGGAAUGGGUUCGCCCCGAGAUAGGGGCCCGUGCCCUGGAAAGCGUCGCGGUUCCGGCGGCGUCCGGUGAGCUUUCGCUGGCCCUUGAAAAUCCGGGUGAGAAGGUGUAAAUCUCGCGCCAGGCCGUACCCAUAUCCGCAGCAGGUCUCCAAGGUGAACAGCCUCUGGCAUGAUGGAACAAGGGGGGUAAGGGAAGUCGGCAAAUCAGAUCCGUAACUUCGGGAUAAGGAUUGGCUCUAAGGGCUGGGUCGGUUGGGCUGGGGUGCGAAGCGGGACACAGUACGU
This 517-nucleotide non-coding RNA is filed under the name Novosphingobium pentaromativorans US6-1. RNAcentral describes it as "Eukaryotic large subunit ribosomal RNA". It matches the Rfam family "Eukaryotic large subunit ribosomal RNA", at positions 1523 to 2002 of the family's 3401-position model. Lineage: Bacteria; Pseudomonadati; Pseudomonadota; Alphaproteobacteria; Sphingomonadales; Sphingomonadaceae. The record is from Rfam by way of RNAcentral.